Molecule: ribosomal RNA, 235 nt
Filed under: uncultured bacterium
Lineage: Bacteria
Description: partial 16S ribosomal RNA
Rfam family: Bacterial small subunit ribosomal RNA
Source: RNAcentral
CGGGUGAGUAUCACGUGGGUUAUCUACCUUUUGGUGGGGGACAACACUUCGAAAGGGGUGCUAAUACCGCAUAAGUCCACUUCGGUGGGGAAAGAUGGCCUCUCCUUGGAAGCUAUCGCCAGAAGAUGAGCUCGCGGCCCAUCAGCUUGUUGGUAGGGUAAUGGCCUACCAAGGCUUCGACGGGUAGCUGGUCUGAGAGGAUGAUCAGCCACACUGGAACUGACACACGGUCCGG